GACGAACGCUGGCGGCGUGCUUAACACAUGCAAGUCGAACGGAAAGGCCCUGCUUGCAGGGUGCUCGAGUGGCGAACGGGUGAGUAACACGUGGGUGAUCUGCCCCUUACUUUGGGAUAAGCCUGGGAAACUGGGUCUAAUACUGGAUAGGACCAUGCUGUAGGUGGUGUGGUGGAAAGAUUAGUUUCGGUAAGGGAUGAGCUCGCGGCCUAUCAGCUUGUUGGUGGGGUAAUGGCCUACCAAGGCGUCGACGGGUAGCCGGCCUGAGAGGGUGGACGGCCACAUUGGGACUGAGAUACGGCCCAGACUCCUACGGGAGGCAGCAGUGGGGAAUAUUGCACAAUGGGCGCAAGCCUGAUGCAGCGAUGCCGCGUGGGGGAUGACGGCCUUCGGGUUGUAAACUCCUUUCAGCCAUGACGAAGCCCUUGUGGUGACGGUAGUGGUAGAAGAAGCACCGGCUAACUACGUG
Molecule: ribosomal RNA, 469 nt
Filed under: uncultured bacterium
Lineage: Bacteria
Description: partial 16S ribosomal RNA
Rfam family: Bacterial small subunit ribosomal RNA
Source: RNAcentral